RNAcentral lists this ribosomal RNA (449 nucleotides) under uncultured bacterium. RNAcentral describes it as "partial 16S ribosomal RNA". It matches the Rfam family "Bacterial small subunit ribosomal RNA", at positions 354 to 796 of the family's 1533-position model. The record is from RNAcentral.
GUGGGGAAUAUUGGACAAUGGGCGAAAGCCUGAUCCAGCCAUGCCGCGUGUGUGAAGAAGGUCUUCGGAUUGUAAAGCACUUUAAGUUGGGAGGAAGGGCAGUAAGUUAAUACCUUGCUGUUUUGACGUUACCGACAGAAUAAGCACCGGCUAACUUCGUGCCAGCAGCCGCGGUAAUACGAAGGGUGCAAGCGUUAAUCGGAAUUACUGGGCGUAAAGCGCGCGUAGGUGGUUUUGUAAGUUGGAGGUGAAAUCCCCGGGCUCAACCUGGGAACUGCCUCCAAAAAUGCAUGACUAGAGUACGGUAGAGGGUAGUGGAAUUUCCUGUGUAGCGGUGAAAUGAGUAGAUAUAGGAAGGAACACCAGUGGCGAAGGCGACUACCUGGACUGAUACUGACACUGAGGUGCGAAAGCGUGGGGAGCAAACAGGAUUAGAAACCCUGUAGUCC